GAUAUUCGACGAGGUGUGGAGGAAGUUCUCUGGGUUGGGCCAGAUAUCCAGGACUACUCGUGCCGAUGACAAGGAGGCUUUUGAUGCGUUGCUCAUAAGGGAGGGCCCCAUGUGCGAGUUUGCCAUCCCUGGUGCUCAGAAUACCACUGUCCUUGUUGUUGGAGCCCCCAGCCGUAUUGGAUUGUUGUUAGAAAGCUUAUGCUCAGGGGUUACACUGUCAAGGCUUUGGUAAGAAAGGCUGAUCAGGAAGUGAUUGACUCGCUCCCUAGGUUAGUAGAGAUUGUGAUUGGGGACGUGGGCGAUCCCUCCACCCUUAAGGCUGCUGUGGAGGGCUGCAACAAAAUUAUCUAUUGUGCCACUGCUCGUUCUGCCAUCACCGGCGAUCUCUUCAGAGUUGAUCAUCAAGGGGUUUCCAACCUCACCAAAGCGUUUCAGGACUAUAACAACAAACUAGCACAACUUAGAGCAGGAAAAAGCAGCAAAAGCAAACUUCUGCUUGCAAAGUUCAAAUCUCCAAAUUCACUGAAUGGGUGGG
Molecule: unclassified non-coding RNA, 535 nt
Filed under: Hevea brasiliensis (rubber tree)
Lineage: Eukaryota; Viridiplantae; Streptophyta; Magnoliopsida; Malpighiales; Euphorbiaceae
Source: RNAcentral